RNAcentral lists this ribosomal RNA (705 nucleotides) under uncultured bacterium. Its description in RNAcentral is "bacterial SSU rRNA". It matches the Rfam family "Bacterial small subunit ribosomal RNA", at positions 59 to 750 of the family's 1533-position model. The record is from RNAcentral.
CAGUCGAACGGAGUUAUCAUUUUUGAAGCGAUUAGCUUGCUAAGAGUGGAACAGUUGAUAACUUAGUGGCGGACGGGUGAGUAACGCGUGGGUAACCUGCCUUACACAGGGGGAUAACACUUAGAAAUAGGUGCUAAUACCGCAUAAGCGCACAGUCCCGCAUGGGACAGAGUGAAAAACAUUAGUGGUGUAAGAUGGACCCGCGUCUGAUUAGCUGGUUGGCGGGGUAACGGCCCACCAAGGCGACGAUCAGUAGCCGGCCUGAGAGGGUGGACGGCCACAUUGGGACUGAGACACGGCCCAAACUCCUACGGGAGGCAGCAGUGGGGGAUAUUGGACAAUGGGGGAAACCCUGAUCCAGCGACGCCGCGUGAGUGAAGAAGUAUUUCGGUAUGUAAAGCUCUAUCAGCAGGGAAGAAAGAAAUGACGGUACCUGAGUAAGAAGCCCCGGCUAACUACGUGCCAGCAGCCGCGGUAAUACGUAGGGGGCAAGCGUUAUCCGGAAUUACUGGGUGUAAAGGGAGCGUAGACGGUAAUGCAAGUCUGGAGUGAAAGGCGGGGGCCCAACCCCCGGACUGCUCUGGAAACUGUGUAACUGGAGUGCAGGAGAGGCAGGCGGAAUUCCUAGUGUAGCGGUGAAAUGCGUAGAUAUUAGGAGGAACACCAGUGGCGAAGGCGGCCUGCUGGACUGUAACUGACGUUGAG